This is a non-coding RNA of Nicotiana tabacum (common tobacco), 584 nucleotides long. NCBI's taxonomy places the organism in Eukaryota, Viridiplantae, Streptophyta, Magnoliopsida, Solanales, Solanaceae. The record is from RefSeq and is a predicted model, not a curated record.
CGUUUUUGGUGAAGAUCAAGUUGCUCCUCUUGGUAUAUAAACCCUUGAAAAAAAAUAUCAAAGGAGAAGUGUUUGAGGAAGUGGACAGAUUUGGUUUGUUUACGGCGUAGACGAUUCGAACGUCCCCAAGUUGUGAUUGAACUGUUUUAUGGUAAAACACCAAGGAAAUGUUCGGGAUGAAAUCUGAAGAUGUCCAGGGUGAAUUGGUCUUUUGGAAGAACUUAUGAAGAUCACAUUUGCAUAUGCACCUUGGUUUUGCAUAGUUUUGGGACGUAUACAUGAUGUACAGGAUAUACAGAAUAUAUACAUAUAUAUAUGUCACACUUAUGCUAUUUGGAGGCUUGUUGGGUUUUAAAGAAAAAAAAAAUCUUGUAACUUGAAUUUGUAACUUACUUUAUUGUAUUAGGGUAUUUUAAUGACUCAGGUCUUGUAAUAUGCUGAAUUUACACUUUGUCUUGUAAAUAUGUAGAAAAGGAGAAAACUAGUUUCCCUUUCUUUAUACCCGAUAGUUUAAAAUUUAUGUAUAAUACAAACUUGCAGUGAUUUUGAAUGAGUGUAUAAAUUUGUUAGAAAGUUGUUUUAAA